GAUACUCAGUUAAAUUUGAAUUUCAGAUAAACAAUGAAUAAUUUUUAGUGUAAUUAUGUCUGAUGCAACAUUUUGGACAUACUUAUACUAAAAAAAAAAUUCAUUAUUUACCUGAAAUUCAAAUCUAGCUGGGAGCCC
Molecule: microRNA precursor, 138 nt
Filed under: Otolemur garnettii (small-eared galago)
Lineage: Eukaryota; Metazoa; Chordata; Mammalia; Primates; Galagidae
Description: miRNA (ENSOGAG00000023177.2)
Rfam family: mir-1302 microRNA precursor family (bases 42-93)
Source: RNAcentral